RNAcentral lists this ribosomal RNA (439 nucleotides) under uncultured bacterium. RNAcentral's name for it is "bacterial SSU rRNA". It matches the Rfam family "Bacterial small subunit ribosomal RNA", at positions 355 to 814 of the family's 1533-position model. The record is from RNAcentral.
UCGGGAAUUUUGGGCAAUGGGCGAAAGCCUGACCCAGCAACGCCGCGUGAAGGAUGAAGUAUUUCGGUAUGUAAACUUCGAAAGAAUGGGAAGAAUCAAUGACGGUACCAUUUAUAAGGUCCGGCUAACUACGUGCCAGCAGCCGCGGUAAUACGUAGGGACCAAGCGUUGUUCGGAUUUACUGGGCGUAAAGGGCGCGUAGGCGGCUUUGUAAGUCACUUGUGAAAUCUCCGGGCUUAACUCGGAACGGCCAAGUGAUACUGCAAAGCUAGAGUGCAGAAGGGGCAAUCGGAAUUCUUGGUGUAGCGGUGAAAUGCGUAGAUAUCAAGAGGAACACCUGAGGUGAAGACGGGUUGCUGGGCUGACACUGACGCUGAGGCGCGAAAGCCAGGGGAGCAAACGGGAUUAGAUACCCCUGUAGUCCCUGAGCGGGCUGGCA